Panonychus citri (citrus red mite) is the source of this 961-nucleotide long non-coding RNA. RefSeq lists it as uncharacterized. The record is from RefSeq and is a predicted model, not a curated record. Lineage: Eukaryota; Metazoa; Arthropoda; Arachnida; Trombidiformes; Tetranychidae. The transcript is spliced from 2 exons.
CGAGACUCUGGUGUUACUUUUAUGUUUAGCAUAUUUAAUUGGUCGAGUUACAGCAAUGAACCUUUUCAAACAAAAGGGAUAAACAACAAAAUCAAUUAAUCAAAUCUACACUCUAAUCAAUAUGUAAUAAUCAGUAUAGAUUGAUUGUUACUCUUUAUCAUUAUAUGUCACCCUUGCAAUUAUCCCCAUUGGAGAUUGGCAGUAAUUAAAAGAUCAAAAAGGAAACAAAAAGUUACAAUGGAUGAAAAAUGGAAAAUAAGACAAAUAUGAUGUUGAUGUUGAUGAUGAUGGAGAGGAAAAGAAGGUGACAAUGGUGGAAGAUGAAAGUAUUGAAUGAAAAGAAAGACCAUAGACUUUAAGAAAGAUCUGAUGAGGAUGCUAAAGACAAAGAUCAUUGAAAGGAAAAGAUUUAACUUGGAUCAAAGGAAAAGCUUUACACUUGAUUUGGAUUGAAUUGUUUCUUCAAUGGAUUUUUACUCAAUGAGAUUGAUUAAAGGGACAGAUUAACGUUAGAAAGAUAGUUAAAGUAUCUCAAAGACUAAAUCUGUUUCCAAUUCCAACAAAAAGUGACCAGUGAGAAUGUCAAUAGUGAAACAGAACAAGAAAAAAAAACCUUUGGUCAAUUUUAUCUUCUUCUUCUUCUAACCAAUGAAUUACUUGAAAAGCAGAUAUGGAAGAUACUAUUGAUGAUGAUAUAAUGGAAGAGAAAACUGUAAACAUGGUGUUGAUAUUUCGAGAGCAAAAGAAGUGGAAAAAUAUCAAGGAACCAAUUGCAAGAGAGAUGUAAUGUUAAUACAAUAGAUUUCACUUGGCGAUUACGAGAUAAUAUUGAGACCAAAAGAUUUGGGUUAAAAUUGAAAUUUUUCGUUGAAUUAGAUUCAAGAUUCAUCAGUUGAAUACUCCAUUUAUUUACUUUGAGCUAAUAAAUCAAAGUGAUCAGAUGCUGGAUCAUAAUGUUGUA